UUAGAGUUUUGNNUCCUGGCUCAGAUUGAACGCUGGCGGCAGGCCUAACACAUGCAAGUCGAGCGGAUGAGUGGAGCUUGCUCCAUGAUUCAGCGGCGGACGGGUGAGUAAUGCCUAGGAAUCUGCCUGGUAGUGGGGGAUAACGUUUCGAAAGGAACGCUAAUACCGCAUACGUCCUACGGGAGAAAGUGGGGGAUCUUCGGACCUCACGCUAUCAGAUGAGCCUAGGUCGGAUUAGCUAGUUGGUGGGGUAAUGGCCCACCAAGGCGACGAUCCGUAACUGGUCUGAGAGGAUGAUCAGUCACACUGGAACUGAGACACGGUCCAGACUCCUACGGGAGGCAGCAGUGGGGAAUAUUGGACAAUGGGCGAAAGCCUGAUCCAGCCAUGCCGCGUGUGUGAAGAAGGUCUUCGGAUUGUAAAGCACUUUAAGUUGGGAGGAAGGGCAGUAAGUUAAUACCUUGCUGUUUUGACGUUACCAACAGAAUAAGCACCGGCUAACUUCGUGCCAGCAGCCGCGGUAAUACGAAGGGUGCAAGCGUUAAUCGGAAUUACUGGGCGUAAAGCGCGCGUAGGUGGUUCAGCAAGUUGGAUGUGAAAGCCCCGGGCUCAACCUGGGAAUUGCAUCCAAAACUACUGAGCUAGAGUACGGUAGAGGGUGGUGGAAUUUCCUGUGUAGCGGUGAAAUGCGUAGAUAUAGGAAGGAACACCAGUGGCGAAGGCGACCACCCUGGACUGAUACUGACCACUGAGGUGCGAAAAGCGUGGGAGCAA
RNAcentral lists this ribosomal RNA (774 nucleotides) under Pseudomonas sp. BND-B4. RNAcentral describes it as "bacterial SSU rRNA". It matches the Rfam family "Bacterial small subunit ribosomal RNA", at positions 1 to 771 of the family's 1533-position model. Lineage: Bacteria; Pseudomonadati; Pseudomonadota; Gammaproteobacteria; Pseudomonadales; Pseudomonadaceae. The record is from RNAcentral.